UAAUAGUAGUUGUAGAAAUAGUAGUGUGCAUAGCAGUAGAAGUAAUAGUGGUAUAAUAGUAGUAGUAGUAGUAAUAAUAAUAAUAAUAAUAAUAAUAAUAAUAAUAAUAAUAAUAAUAAUAAUAAUAAUAAUAAUGAUAAUAAUAAUAAUAGGGCAACAGUUCACUUUUAUUCAUAAAAUCAUUUUUUUCACCAUCACGUUCAAGUUUUAUUUUAAUGAUUAAAUAAUACAAAGAAGCAUGACAGUUGAACUUAACGCUCAUAUUCUCGAACGCUUCGGGGUCUACACACAUAUUUGUCAAAGAUUUCGUAAGAGUUGUGCAUAUGUCCACGGAUAGUUUUGUGAACCUAGUAAAGGUUGGACAAGGCUUCUUCUGCACCGUCAACGAUGAAGACACUCAUGAGAACCAGACAUAUAUUCCUUGUAACCUUGGAAAUCGUUGUGGUGAGGGCCGAAAGCGUCUGAGAGCAAGGUUCGCUGUGCUGCCGAAAUGUAAACAACAGACGGCGCGCUCUGACUUUGCGCAAGGAAACAAAACAUCGCGAAGUUGAAACGGAGAAUGUGGAUGGAUAAUUUGAAGUGUAGUUUUGAAUCUAUACGAAAAUAUUAUAAGCGUAGUUUUGUGUGUUUAUAAAGAAAGUGUUACAAUCGUUUUCAAGUUCAUAAGCAAAAGUUACAAGAGCAGUUUUCAGUUACCAUGCAGAAAUUGCAAUACUUCAGUUUUCCACUUAUAGGCAGGAGUUACAAGCACAGUGUUGAGCUUACAGGCAAAAAAACAUGAGCGAAGUUUUUGAGGUAAUAGGCAAAAAAUACAAUCACAGUUUUGAAUCUAUAGACAAAAAUUACAAUAAGUUUUCAGUUUAUAAGUAAAAUUUACAGGCGCAGGUUAUUUUUAGUUAUUUAUUGACAAAAAUUACCUCCACAUUUUGAGUUCAUAGGCAAAAAUAGAGAUCGUGCAGCUUAGAAUUUAUAUGCAAAAGUUAAAAGGAAAUAUGCAACGUCAGUGUUGAUUUAUUAGACAGAAAUCUUGACCUGAGAGAUGUCUGUCCGUUAGAGGAAAGCGUACGAAUUUACAUUGCGCAGUUAAACCGAAAUAUCUGAGACAAAUCUAUAGCACGUGGUUGCCAUUUUUUGGAGCUAAUGGGUAUCUAAUUGGGUCCUUUUAGCAGCCCCAGGAGUCGAGGAGAGAGAG
Eriocheir sinensis (Chinese mitten crab) is the source of this 1192-nucleotide long non-coding RNA. RefSeq lists it as uncharacterized. NCBI's taxonomy places the organism in Eukaryota, Metazoa, Arthropoda, Malacostraca, Decapoda, Varunidae. The record is from RefSeq and is a predicted model, not a curated record. The transcript is spliced from 3 exons.